UUUUUUUUUUUACGUUUUUUUUUUUUUUUUUUUUUUUUUUUAUUUAUGAUAGUCACACAGAGAGAGAGAGAGAGAGAGAGAGGCAGAGACACAGGCAGAGGGAGAAGCAGGCUCCAUGUACCGGGAGCCUGACGUGGGAUUCGAUCCCGGAUCUCCAGGAUCGCGCCCUGGGCCAAGGCAGGCGCCAAACCGCUGCGCCACCCAGGGAUCCCUUUUUACCUGCUUUUUAUAUCAGUUGCUGACAUGGGUGUAUCAAAAAUAUUUACUGUGACAGUUAUAGUUAAUUUGACUAUCUAACUUUCAGGUAUUUAAAAUUUUUGUUUUAUAUAUUUGAAAUCAAUUAUUAUUUAAGUACAUAAAAAUUUAUAAUUAUUUCAUUUUCCAAGUUAAUUUUUUAUUUCUAUAAUGUGUCUUUUUUAUAUGUCUAGUGGUGAGUUUUCUUUGAUAUUUAAUAGUUUCAUUAUUUCUGGAUAAUGGUUUCAUAUUUUUUCUAUGACUGUGCACACAUGUAUAUAUACGUAUUUUUUAAAUUCAUAAAUUAUUAUAUUAUAAUUACUUUUUUAUAUUAUAAUUACUAUACAAUUAGUACUUACAUAAAUUAGUGUUCUUUCUUUGCUGUUUAUUGGAUCCUGCAUCUUUGGGCUUCCAUCUGGGAUAAAUUUUCUUUUGCUUGAGAAUACUUAUUCAGACUCAUGAAUAUACAUGUAUUUGCUAAAGUUUUUGUCAGCUUUCAUUUUUCUGAAAUAAUCUUUGUUUAACCUGAUAUUUUGUUCAAUAUAGAAUUUUAAACUGGCAAUUGUUUUAUUUCACUACUAUUAAAAUAUAUUCUAUUGUCUUCUGACCUGUUUUAUUUGUCUUAAGGAUUCAGCUGUUAGUCUUAUUUCUAUGCCAAAUUUUAAAUAUCUGUUAUUUGUUUUCAGCAAUUUUAUUUUUAUAUAUUUACAUCAGAUUGAAUAGUGUGUCUCCAAAAUUCAUACUUACCCAGAACUUCAGCAUAUGAUCUUAUUUGGAAAUAGCAUCUUCUCAAAGGUAAUUAAGGUAAGGAUAACAAUUAGUGUAUAUUGGAUUAAGAUAGUCCCUAAAUGCUAUGUGAAUGUCCUCCUAAUAGACUGAAAAGGACAUACAGAGGCAAAGAAAAUGCCACAUGUUGACAAGAGGUUAUAAUGAUAAAACUCUAGGCCAUGGAUUGUCAAGAAUUGCUGGGAGACAUCAGAAGAUAAGAAAUGGCAAGGGAUGAGUCUUCCAUAUUGUCUUCAAAGGAAGCAUAGUGCUACUGACAUGUGGAUUUCAGACUUCUGGCCCACAUAAUAGUUUCAGAAAAAUUUUAUGUUGUUUGAACCCACUAUAUUUGUGGCAAUAUUUUUAUGACAGUUAUAGGAAGGUAAUACACUAUUUAAGUGUGUGUGUGUAUGUUUAUUCCCUAGUUGGAAUACAUAGCACUUCUUGAAACUAUAGUUUAAUGACAUCAGAUCUGAAACAUUUGUAGACAUUUUCUUCAAUUAUUUCUGAUCCUUCACCUUCUCAGUCUAGGACUCCAACUACAUCAUGUAACACAUUUUCACCAUGUUCACAUAUAACUCAAACACCUCCUACAUUUUAUCAUCUCUGUUUUCCAUGUUUCACUCUGGCUAUUUAAAUCUUCUAAGUUGGGAUGCCUGAGGGGCUCAGAGGUUUCAGCGUCAGCCUUGGGUUCAGGGCUUGAUCCUGGAGUUCCAGGGAUCGAGUCCCACGUUGAGCUCCCUGCAUGGAGCCUGCUUCUCCCUCUGCCUGUGUCUCUGCCUCUCUCUCUCUGCAUGUCUCUCAUGAAUAAAUAAACAAAAAAAGAUCUUUUAAAAAAUCUUAUAAAUCUUCCAGUUAAGCAAAUCUCACUUUAGUUGUUUAAUCCAUAAAACCCAUUCACGAGUUUUUAAAAUUUUUAAAAAUUAAACUUAAAUAGUGUUUUAUGCUUUUAUCCUAUCCUCCACUAUGCCCCCCUUUAGUCUGCUAUGUCUAUUAGCUCAUUAUUGUUGUUUGGAUUCCACAUAUGAGUGAGAUCAUUUUUCUUUAUCUGUCUCACUCAUUUUCACUUAGCAUAAUGCCCUCAAGUCCAUCCAUGUUGUCACAAAUAAAAAGAUGUCAUUUUUCUUAUGGUUGAAUAUAUUCUAUAUGUAUAUACAAUACAUUGUAUAUCUAUACUGCAAAUUCUUUAUCCAUUCAUCCAUCAAUGGGCAUUUAGGUUUUUUCCAUAUCUUGGCUCAUGUAGGUAAUGUUGCAGUAAAUAUAGGGUAUAUAUAUCUUUUUGAGUUAGUUUUGUGCUUUCUUUGGAUAAAUACCCAGAAUUGGAAUUGCUGAAUCAAAUGGUAAUUCUAUUUUUAAAUUUUGAGAAACCUCCAUACUGUUUUUCAUGUUUAUACCAAUUUAUAUCUUCACCAACAGUGCAUGAGGGUUCUCUUUUCUCCACGUCCUCACCAGCACUUGCUAUAUUUUAUCUUUCUGAUAAUAAUCAUUUUAACAGGGAUAAGGUGAUAUCUCAUGGUAGUUUUGAUUUAUAUUUCCCCAAUGAUUAGUAAUAUUGAACAUCUUUUCAUUUACCUGUUGACCAUGUAUGUCUUUGGAAAUCUGUCUAUUCAAGUCUAAACCAUUUUGUAUUUUUUCUUUUUGUUUGUUUUUUUUGCUAUUGUGUUGUAUAAGCUCUUUAUAUAUUAUGGAUAUUGUCCUCUGUUUUUGUGUUUCUUGC
This 2716-nucleotide long non-coding RNA is filed under the name Canis lupus familiaris (dog). RNAcentral's name for it is "lncRNA (ENSCAFG00845014131.1)". Lineage: Eukaryota; Metazoa; Chordata; Mammalia; Carnivora; Canidae. The record is from RNAcentral.